This is a long non-coding RNA of Oreochromis aureus, 1131 nucleotides long. RefSeq lists it as uncharacterized. NCBI's taxonomy places the organism in Eukaryota, Metazoa, Chordata, Actinopteri, Cichliformes, Cichlidae. The record is from RefSeq and is a predicted model, not a curated record. The transcript has 3 exons.
ACAUAAUAAACCCACGGUGUAAUUACAUCCACUCGAGGUUAACGCUCUCAUUAAAUGCUGCAGCUCGCUGUUUUUUUGGCAGUAAAAAUUAACCUUUUUACUGCUGGGUUGUUAAAGUAUUUUAUCUUUUUUGGGUUACAUAAGUGACUGCAGUGCAUUAACACACAUGUUCCUUCAAGCGUGCAACAUGCUGCACAGAGCGACCUCUUCUUCUUCUCCUCCUCUCUCUGCUCUCACCCGUUUCACUGGCUGGAUGGCCAAAUCACCCCUGACAGGCCGGAGCUUUUCAUGCGGCUCUGCGAGUGUUUGUGUGGCACACUGUACAAAAGAGCAGGGACACACAGGACCCUCUUCAGCGCGUCAGGCUGCCCGCUGUUUGCUCAGACUGCCGAGGGGCUUCACGGGGCCGGAGGUCCGUCUGCCGUCGAUGAAGGCACGUCUGGAUCCCAACUGGAUGCUCAUCAACUCCACGAGGACCUCUUAACUUCAAACUGAAGCUCCUCUUCCCAUCUGAGAAGCUGAGGCAGCAGGAAUGAUCAUCAGACUGGGAAGACUGACACCGGGAUACUUCCGCCUCCUCCAGAGGCAGAUGUCGGGUGAGGUCCAGAUUCAGCCGCAGAGCAGCCUCAUCGAUCCCAUCGCCAUGACGAUGGCCGUGGUGGGGAUGGGAGUGUCUCUGUACAGCGCCAGGCGGAUGUCAGAGAGAGUCCAGCUGAAGCGGCCAAACGCCUGAGAGAUCUCACCUGUUCACUGGUUCAGUUUCUGCUGCACAGGCGGCUCAUGCGACAGAGGGUGUGUUUGUGAACGUCAGAGAAAGUCAGCGGAGGGGGAGUGUGUUUAUGUGUGUGGGUGUGUCUGUGUGGUGCUAGAAGGAAAAUCUAAGUGUCCCCAAAGGAAAAUGUGAGUCGGUGAUCAGCAUGUGUGAAGCUGUAGUUUGAUAACCCUACGUGUUGUGUGCAGGAUAUCUUUAAAAGGAGUGCGUAUUAAAUCAGAGAUUUGUACUUUAAUGCAAUUAAUCCUCAAUUAACAAACAGCAUUAGAGUUUAGUUUUAAUUUAAAAAUGUGUAUAAUACAGAUGUAAUCCAAUUCAAUUCAAUUUUAUUUAUGUAGAACCAAAUCACAACAACAGUC